CCUACGGGGGGCUGCAGUGAGGAAUAUUGGUCAAUGGUCGGGAGACUGAACCAGCCAAGCCGCGUGAGGGAGGAAGGUACAGAGUAUCGUAAACCUCUUUUGUCAGGGAACAAAGGCGGGGACGUGUCCCCGGAUGAGUGUACCUGAAGAAAAAGCAUCGGCUAACUCCGUGCCAGCAGCCGCGGUAAUAAGGGGGAUGCGAGCGUUAUCCGGUUUUAUUGGGUUUAAAGGGUGCGCAGGCGGUCUUUUAAGUCAGCGGUAAAAGCCCGGGGCGCAACCCCGGCGCGCCGUUGAAACUGGCAGUCUCGAGUGGGAGAGAAGUAUGCGGAAUGCGCGGUGUAGCGGUGAAAUGCAUAGAUAGCGCGCAGAACUCCGAUUGCGAAGGCAGCAUGCCGGCUCCACACUGACGCUGAGGCACGAAAGCGUGGGUAUCGAACAGGAUUAGAUACCCUAGUAGUC
RNAcentral lists this ribosomal RNA (459 nucleotides) under uncultured bacterium. Its description in RNAcentral is "partial 16S ribosomal RNA". It matches the Rfam family "Bacterial small subunit ribosomal RNA", at positions 338 to 795 of the family's 1533-position model. The record is from RNAcentral.